UUCCUGAAGUUUAGUCGAAAUCUCCUUUCCUGUAACUUGAAUUCAUUGCUCCUAGCCUCCAGAGCAAGAGAAAACAAGCUUGCUCCAUCUUCCACAUGACAGCCCUUUAAAUAUUUGAAGAUGGCUAUCAUAUCUCCUCUCUGUCUCCUCUUUUCUAGGCUAAACAUCCCCAACUCCCUCAACC
This is a non-coding RNA of Podarcis lilfordi (Lilford's wall lizard), 184 nucleotides long. The record is from the annotation of a GenBank genome assembly. Lineage: Eukaryota; Metazoa; Chordata; Lepidosauria; Squamata; Lacertidae.